RNAcentral lists this ribosomal RNA (256 nucleotides) under uncultured bacterium. Its description in RNAcentral is "partial 16S ribosomal RNA". It matches the Rfam family "Bacterial small subunit ribosomal RNA", at positions 524 to 776 of the family's 1533-position model. The record is from RNAcentral.
UACGAAGGGGGGCUAGCGUUGCUCGGAAUCACUGGGCGUAAAGGGUGCGUAGGCGGGUCUUUUAAGUCAGGGGUGAAAUCCUGGAGCUCAACUCCAGAACUGCCUUUGAUACUGAAGAUCUUGAGUUCGGGAGAGGUGAGUGGGAACUGCGAGUGUAGAGGUGAAAUUCGUAGAUAUUCGCAAGAACACCAGUGGCGAAGGCGGCUCACUGGCCCGAUACUGACGCUGAGGCACGAAAGCGUGGGGAGCAAACAGG